CGGGUGGUAAUGCCGGAUGCUCCGACUCCUCGCAUGGGGUGUCGGGAAAGAUUUCAUCGGUAUGGGAUGGGGUCGCGUCCUAUCAGGUAGUCGGCGGGGUAACGGCCCACCGAGCCUACGACGGGUAGCCGGCCUGAGAGGGCGACCGGCCACAUUGGGACUGAGAUACGGCCCAGACUCCUACGGGAGGCAGCAGUGGGGAAUAUUGCACAAUGGGCGCAAGCCUGAUGCAGCGACGCCGCGUGCGGGAUGACGGCCUUCGGGUUGUAAACCGCUUUUGAUCGGGAGCAAGCCUUCGGGUGAGUGUACCUUUCGAAUAAGCACCGGCUAACUACGUGCCAGCAGCCGCGGUAAUACGUAGGGUGCAAGCGUUAUCCGGAAUUAUUGGGCGUAAAGGGCUCGUAGGCGGUUCGUCGCGUCCGGUGUGAAAGUCCAUCGCUUAACGGUGGAUCUGCGCCGGGUACGGGCGGGCUGGAGUGCGGUAGGGGAGACUGGAAUUCCCGGUGUAACGGUGGAAUGUGUAGAUAUCGGGAAGAACACCAA
Molecule: ribosomal RNA, 543 nt
Filed under: Bifidobacterium pseudocatenulatum
Lineage: Bacteria; Bacillati; Actinomycetota; Actinomycetes; Bifidobacteriales; Bifidobacteriaceae
Description: bacterial SSU rRNA
Rfam family: Bacterial small subunit ribosomal RNA
Source: RNAcentral